GGGGGACCUUCGGGCCUCUUGCCAUCGGAUGUGCCCAGAUGGGAUUAGCUAGUAGGUGGGGUAACGGCUCACCUAGGCGACGAUCCCUAGCUGGUCUGAGAGGAUGACCAGCCACACUGGAACUGAGACACGGUCCAGACUCCUACGGGAGGCAGCAGUGGGGAAUAUUGCACAAUGGGCGCAAGCCUGAUGCAGCCAUGCCGCGUGUAUGAAGAAGGCCUUCGGGUUGUAAAGUACUUUCAGCGGGGAGGAAGGGAGUAAAGUUAAUACCUUUGCUCAUUGACGUUACCCGCAGAAGAAGCACCGGCUAACUCCGUGCCAGCAGCCGCGGUAAUACGGAGGGUGCAAGCGUUAAUCGGAAUGAGUGGGCGUAAAGCGCACGCAGGCGGUUUGUUAAGUCAGAUGUGAAAUCCCCCAGGACUACAA
This 426-nucleotide ribosomal RNA is filed under the name Escherichia coli. RNAcentral describes it as "bacterial SSU rRNA". It matches the Rfam family "Bacterial small subunit ribosomal RNA", at positions 194 to 615 of the family's 1533-position model. The record is from RNAcentral. Lineage: Bacteria; Pseudomonadati; Pseudomonadota; Gammaproteobacteria; Enterobacterales; Enterobacteriaceae.